UUGGAAUGAGUAGAAUUCAAAUCCCUUUACGAGUAUCGAUUGGAGGGCAAGUCUGGUGCCAGCAGCCGCGGUAAUUCCAGCUCCAAUAGCGUAUAUUAAAGUUGUUGCGGCUAAAAAGCUCGUAGUUGGAUUUCUGUUGAAGUCGGGCGGUGUGCACCUCGUGCAUUAUUUGCUUCGGUUUUGGCAUCCUCUUGGGGAACGUUCCGGACUUUAUUGGACGGGCGGGAUUCAGGACUUUUACUUUGAGGAAAUUAGAGUGUUCACGGCAGGCAAGUGCUUUGAAUAUAUUAGCAUGGAAUAAUGAUAUAGGACCUUGGUACUAUUUUGUUGGUUUGCGCACUAAGGUAAUGAUUAAGAGGGACAGUUGGGGGUAUUUGUAUUCCAUUGUCAGAGGUGAAAUUCUUGGAUUUUUGGAAGACAAACUACUGCGAAAGCAUUUACCAAGGAUGUUUUCAUUAAUCAAGAACGAAAGUUAGGGGAUCAAAGACGAUCAGAUACCGUCCUAGUCUUAACCAUAAACUAUGCCGACUCGGGAUCGGAGGCACGCAAAAUCGGUCUUC
This 560-nucleotide ribosomal RNA is filed under the name uncultured dinoflagellate. RNAcentral's name for it is "bacterial SSU rRNA". It matches the Rfam family "Eukaryotic small subunit ribosomal RNA", at positions 509 to 1081 of the family's 1831-position model. Lineage: Eukaryota; Dinophyceae. The record is from RNAcentral.